This 430-nucleotide ribosomal RNA is filed under the name uncultured bacterium. RNAcentral's name for it is "bacterial SSU rRNA". It matches the Rfam family "Bacterial small subunit ribosomal RNA", at positions 958 to 1392 of the family's 1533-position model. The record is from RNAcentral.
AACGCGAAGAACCUUACCGAUCUUGACAUAUCUAGAAUCCUGUAGAGAUGCGGGAGUGCCUUCGGGAUUAGAAUACAGGUGGUGCAUGGCUGUCGUCAGCUCGUGUCGUGAGAUGUUGGGUUAAGUCCCCAACGAGCGCAACCCUUGUCCUUACUUACCACCGGGUUAAGCCGGGAACUCUAAGGAUACUGCCAGUGACAAACUGGAGGAAGGGGGGGACGACCUCAAGUCAUCAUGGCCCUUACGACCAGGGCUACACACGUGCUACAAUGGUAGGUACAGAGGGCAGCUACACAGCGAUGUGAGGCAAAUCUCAAAAAGCCUAUCUAGUCCAGAUUGCAUUCCCAACUCGACUCCAGGAAGUAGGAAUCGCUAAUAAUCGCGGAUCAGAAUGCCGCGGUGAAUACGUUCCCGGGUCUUGUACACACCG